CCCUUAGAUGUUCUGGGCCGCACGCGCGCUACACUGACGAAUGCAACGAGCUUAUAACCUUGGCCGAAAGGUCUGGGUAAUCUCCAAAUUUCGUCGUGAUGGGGAUAGAUUAUUGCAAUUAUUAAUCUUCAACGAGGAAUGCCUAGUAAGCGCAAGUCAUCAGCUUGCGUUGAUUACGCCCCUGCCCUUUGUACACACCGCCCGUCGCUCCUACCGAUUGAAUGGUCCGGUGAAGCGUUCGGACCGUGGCCUUUGGACGGUUCGCCGUCUGUUGGCUGCGGGAAGUUCGUUAAACCUUAUCAUUUAGAGGAAGGAGAANUCGUAACA
Molecule: ribosomal RNA, 327 nt
Filed under: uncultured eukaryote
Lineage: Eukaryota
Description: partial 18S ribosomal RNA
Rfam family: Eukaryotic small subunit ribosomal RNA
Source: RNAcentral